Molecule: ribosomal RNA, 506 nt
Filed under: uncultured bacterium
Lineage: Bacteria
Description: bacterial SSU rRNA
Rfam family: Bacterial small subunit ribosomal RNA
Source: RNAcentral
CUGGCUCAGGAUGAACGCUAGCGGCAGGCUUAACACAUGCAAGUCGAGGGGCAGCGUGGAGUAGCAAUACUCUGACGGCGACCGGCGAAAGGGUGAGUAACGCGUGAGCAACAUGCCCGGUAGUGGAGAAUAGUCGAUGGAAACGUCGCGUAAUACUCCGUAACAUAGGAGACCGCAUGAUCUUCUAUUAAUAGAUUUAUCGCUACCGGAUUGGCUCGCGUACCAUUAGCUAGUUGGCGGGGUAACGGCCCACCAAGGCGACGAUGGUUAGGGGUUCUGAGAGGAAGGUCCCCCACAUUGGAACUGAGACACGGUCCAGACUCCUACGGGAGGCAGCAGUGAGGAAUAUUGGACAAUGGCCGAGAGGCUGAUCCAGCCAUGCCGCGUGCGGGAAAGACGGCCCUAUGGGUUGUAAACCGCUUUUGUUGGGGAGCAAUAAGGUCCACGUGUGGAUCGAUGAGAGUACCCAGCGAAUAAGCAUCGGCUAACUCCGUGCCAGCAGCCGC